RNAcentral lists this ribosomal RNA (492 nucleotides) under uncultured bacterium. RNAcentral's name for it is "partial 16S ribosomal RNA". It matches the Rfam family "Bacterial small subunit ribosomal RNA", at positions 29 to 507 of the family's 1533-position model. The record is from RNAcentral.
AGUGAACGCUGGCGGUAGGCCUAACACAUGCAAGUCGAACGGCAGCACAGUAAGAGCUUGCUCUUACGGGUGGCGAGUGGCGGACGAGUGAGGAAUACAUCGGAAUCUACUUUUUCGUGGGGGAUAACGUAGGGAAACUUACGCUAAUACCGCAUACGACCUACGGGUGAAAGCCGGGGAUCUUCGGACCUUGCGCGAUUGAAUGAGCCGAUGUCGGAUUAGCUAGUUGGCGGGGUAAAGGCCCACCAAGGCGACGAUCCGUAGCUGGUCUGAGAGGAUGAUCAGCCACACUGGAACUGAGACACGGUCCAGACUCCUACGGGAGGCAGCAGUGGGGAAUAUUGGACAAUGGGCGCAAGCCUGAUCCAGCCAUACCGCGUGGGUGAAGAAGGCCUUCGGGUUGUAAAGCCCUUUUGUUGGGAAAGAAAAGCAGCAGGUUAAUACCCCGCUGUUCUGACGGUACCCAAAGAAUAAGCACCGGCUAACUUCGUG